RNAcentral lists this long non-coding RNA (1075 nucleotides) under Marmota monax (woodchuck). The record is from RNAcentral. Lineage: Eukaryota; Metazoa; Chordata; Mammalia; Rodentia; Sciuridae.
GUAUGUUAUAGUUUUACUUUGGAAAAACAUUUUAUGUAUUUCCUUUAAAUAGAAUGUUCCUUGAGUAUUGUUCCUUAUUGACAUUUAUUUCCCCAACUCCUCAUUGGGAGGAUUAUUCAGAUUUUUCUUACACAAGCAAAGAGCCAGGAUGAAUACUUGUAUCAUCAAAAAGAGUUGUCCAAGUUCGUAGGGAAGAAGAGCAUUCUCUGAUCUCAUGAGGGUAAGGGAGCUCCUUUCUUCCAGCAUUACCUGUGUCUACUGCUUGUAAAACUCUAGAUGAAAUAGCGAAGAAUCACUAUACAGAGAGGGAACUCCCAACACACCAAUGAUUUACAUUACCAGGAAAUCUGUAGACUUUAUUGACUCUCAGCAACCUUGGUGGUGUCGUCAUUGAAUGUAUAUAAAUACCCACUACAGAUAGAAGAACAGCGAGGUCUCUCUAAAGCCUUAAGUUGUGGGAGUCUUUUAGGGACCUUUCCAAGACCUUAAAGCAGAGAUGCAAUUAUCCUGUCUAAAUUUUUUCUAUCCCUGUAGAAUAUGACGUGUUGUGGAUAUUUGAUAUAAAAUGAAGGGUUGAAUAAAAUUUAUCUUUUUAUAUAGAAAACAGGAAAGAUAUGUUAAGUUAGCAAUUUGUUUUGUAGUAGGGAACAUAGUAACUAAACCCAUUCUGUUUACAACCUUUUCUGAUUGACACAGCUGGCUUAAGAGAGAAUGUGAGGUCAAGCGAAACACAAAAUUAUGUAGAUUAUUAUUAGAUGAAGUAUUUGUCUUCUACUCCUCAGAAAUAAAAACAUCAAGGCAUUUUUUUGGUGUAAAUGUAGAUGCUAAAAAUUUUGAUAGAGUCUUAAAACAACCUUCUUUACCUAUUUCCCCAAUCUUCCAAAAUACACAAAUGCCCAGAAAGACACAUACAACCAAAAAUACUUGUGAUAUCUUUUGCCAUGCCUAGACUAUACAUUUCAGUUCUAAGGAUGUCCAUUUUCCUGUGGGAGCUCACCUACCCCAGCAUCUGCUUAAUUUCUUGAUAGCUCAUCCUCCUGUUAGUUGCAAAUGGCACAGAUCUACAUGGUGGUCC